This 91-nucleotide non-coding RNA is filed under the name Salinisphaera shabanensis. Its description in RNAcentral is "Glycine sequence". It matches the Rfam family "Glycine riboswitch aptamer". From Rfam's summary of the family: This family represents the bacterial glycine riboswitch. Glycine riboswitches usually consist of two metabolite-binding aptamers domains with similar structures in tandem. Lineage: Bacteria; Pseudomonadati; Pseudomonadota; Gammaproteobacteria; Salinisphaerales; Salinisphaeraceae. RNAcentral also lists the same sequence under 1 other name. The record is from RNAcentral.
UACGCGAUAGCGGGAGAGACCGGCCCACGGGCCGGCGCCGAAGGAGCAACCGCCCCGGAAACUCUCAGGCACCAGGGACCGUUAUCGUGGC